Molecule: long non-coding RNA, 2833 nt
Filed under: Gossypium barbadense (sea-island cotton)
Lineage: Eukaryota; Viridiplantae; Streptophyta; Magnoliopsida; Malvales; Malvaceae
Description: long non-coding RNA (GBAR_LNC005856)
Source: RNAcentral
UCCAAACUAAAAUUUUAAAAUUCGAAAAGCAUAAGGACUUAGAAUGAUCCAAUUAAAAAAUAUAGAUUAAAUCUACAGCUAUACGCAUAGUACAUAACUAAUAAUUGAAUUUAACCAAAUGAAUUUAAUUGUUACUAUUUAGAUUAGAGAUAAAAUUGAUCGAUUCAAAAAAUUAUAUACCAACUAAAAUUGAGCAAAUCAAAAUAUAAAGACUAAAUUUAUAACUUUCAUAAAAUAUAGAGACUAAUAACAGAAUUCGACCAAAGAAAUAAACAUUUGAAGAAUGUAAAUUAAGUGUUAGUUAAACCUUCAUUACCAAACACAAAUUAUAAUGGAUUUGAUGUCAAAAAUCAUGUCUUUGGUUGAGAGGAUAUAAUCUUAAUCUUGUCUAUUAAUUAUUGCGAAAGUAUUGGUUGUUUUUUGUACUCAAAAACUCUUCUCCAUUUUGGCUUACUCCAAUAUCCCAUCAACAUAUCAACCUCAAAAUUAGUUGGAUAACCGAAACCAAUGACAUACUUUUCAACCGGCUUCCUGUAAGAAAACGACAAGUCAUCAACUUGCCAUUGUAUUUUUUUUUGGAUAAGUUCUAAAAAAAAAAAUCGUUAGUAAUUUGAAAAAAGGGUUAAUAUAACUUUAAGCCCUUAAAGUUUGCAAUUAGGUCCUUUUUGGUACCUAUAUUUUUUUUAUCUACUUUUGGUACCUAAACUUGGCAACUAAGCUUAUUUAGUCAUUUUGGUCCAUGGACUUGACAAAUGGAAAAGUUUAAUGAUGUGGCAUUGUGCCACACCUUCAAACUUUGAUAGAAUUCAAAUUCAAGGACUAAAAUGGAUCUAGUUGUUAAGUUCAUGUAUCAAAAUGAACAAAAAAAAUAUAAGAACCUAAUUGCGAAAUUCAUGAGCUAAAAGUUAUAUAAACAAAUAAAAAAGAAAGAAAGAAUAACCAUUUAUCUCCAUCUUUUGCUUCUUUAUCUUUAAUUUUAGUAUAAGAUAGUAAUGAAUUAGGGUUUAAAUUAUUAUUAUAGAAUUGUGUCAGUUGGAUUAUAGGCAAAGUAACAAAUGAUUUAUGCUCAAAUCUUGAUACCAAUUUCGAGUUUAAUCCUAAAAUAAUCUCCAUCCCCUGUCCCUUAUUAAAAAAGGGAAAAAAACUUAAGAUUAAAUACACUAAGGGUUCUUAAACUACUAUCCAAAUUUUAAAUUAACUUCCAAGCUUCAAAAUAUUGUAAUUGAAUCUUUAAAGUAUUAUCACAUCAAUCAGAUCUUUUUGUAAAUCCAAUCAUCAACUUGGAUAUUAAAUGUUAGUUCUAAUUUGACAUAAAGUAUAUUUAAAAUACAUGAAUCAAAAUUUAAACACGCCUAACUUAAUUGCAUGGCAAGAGUUUGACAUGUUAAAUAAAUUAAAUAACCCAACUAAAUUUUAGGGUAAACUACAAGUUUAAUCACUUAUGUAUGGUUUAAAUUACAUUUUGGUCAUUGAAUUUUAAAAAAUUACUAUAUGAUCACUAACAUUAUCGAUUUGUUACGUUAUAGUCAUUAAGCCAUUACCUGUCGUUAAUGGUGUGGCGACAAUCUAAUAUGACUAUUAAAAAUAAUACCUUUCACUCAUUUUUUUUAUUUUUUUCUUUCUUUUUUUAUAUUCUUAUCCGGCCAACUCUAAAAGGCAUCAUCUUAAUCUCCCCACUCUAUGUUAUAUCAAACUUCCCCACCACCAUUGUUUUAUCUUGCAUCAAUUGAGGAGGACCGAGUUCUAAUCGGUGAAAAUUUAAAAGAGUCAAGUAGAAUUAAAAAAGUCAUUUGCUUUCAUCUAUUAUAAUUUGCACCAUCAAAGCGAAAAGAAAAGUUCAGUGUUAUAAUAAACGUCGAUAAUGGCGGUAGAACAAUCGCAAAGCAAAAAGAAAAGAAAAAAGAACACACAGAUUUUACGUGGAAACCCUUUCGGGAAAAAACUACAGGCAGAUGAGAAAAAAUUCACCAAUGUUGAAAAACGAAUAAUACAAUAAGAGUUUCAACUGCAGGGUUGAAAAACCCUUUUCUAAUCAAAGUCAAAUAGAAUAAUAAUAGUUCUAUAUGGAUUCAACUUGUGCUAUAUGGUCCGUUCGGCCCAAGGCCGUAGCCUACCACAAAACCCCUUAUUUUGCCUAUAAGAUUCGGGUCACACAAUCUCUAACAUUUAGAUUGUUGGAAUCUUGGUUCAUAAACAAAUUAAAGAGAAUCUUCCAAGAAGAAGAGGAGAUGAAUAAAGAAGUUAAUAAAAAAAACUAAGAGAAAAUAAAAAUGAACUAUGACUUCUCUUUUAACCAUAAAUGGCUAAAGGAAUAGACAAGCUUGCAAAGACUAUCUAUAAUAGUGACCAAAUUAAAGCAACUACAAUCACUCAACUAAUAAACCACUAUUAUAACAACUAUUUAACCGCAUGCUUAAUCUCUUAACACGCAUAACUAGCUUGAGUAGUUUUGAGCAAGCUUUCAACGUUGCUUUUCACAAUGAAUAACUAUCUCAAAUUAUUGGAGAAUUUUGCACAAUAAUUAUUUCAAAUAGGAGUAUAAGAUCAAUUUGUUGUUGUAAAACUAUCAUAAUUCUAAUAGUUAAAAUAGACGAUGAGGAUUGAGGCACGAACCAGAUCACUCUUUGAAGACAAUAUGCACCCUCUCAAUGGUAAUAAUCGGUACAGGUAAGUUUUAUUGCCUGUCAUCCCUCAAGAUAUAGUAAGCUCAAUCAUUCACCAUAUACAAUGCAGACAACGCAUAAGUUAAAAGGUAGAAGCUCCACUAUAAUUGCCACUUUCUUCACCCCUUUAAAUGAACUCUCAAAAACUUAAGAAGGCUUAAAAGAUUUUU